GUCCUUCCUCGUUCUAUACUCACUCUCUUCUUUUUCCUUCCUCCCUCUCUUUGUGGAAUGUACUGUUCAGAAGCAGCUGAGUGGAGGAAUGUUGCUGUAACAAGCCCAUACAACAACCCCAAGAUCUCCAGAAGGAUGACCGUCUCUUUGUCUGACCAAGGGACUUUCCUCCUGUCCUCCUGAAUUUCCACAGCAGACUCUGAAGAGGCAGAAAUAAAAGAAAAUGUUUCCAGCUCUAGCCUGCAGCUGCCAACUGCCAGAGUCCCUCGUCUCCCUCAGUCCUUGCCUGAUCGGCUCGGAGCUCCUCCUUGACUUCUCCGUGCUGCUUGCGUUGACGGGAGCACUGAGAAGUCCUUUGUGGUCGGAGUCUUUGAGAGCAGGUGAGCAGGAGGCUGUUUCCAUGACAGUUUUGGUCCCAGGAGGCAGUGACAGGGAGCUGAUGGCGACAGAUGGCUGUCCUCUCAGGGCCUGGUUCUGCCGGAGGUUUCUUCCUGUUGAAGAGAAGUUUUUUCUCUCCAUUGUUGUCAAACGCUUGCUCACAAAGGGACUGGACUUCUCUCUAUAAUAGUGUAAAGCCUUUACCACAGAAUCUAAAGCGCCUUGAGAAUAACUAUGGCUUGCAUAAAUAAAACUGA
This is a long non-coding RNA of Oreochromis aureus, 635 nucleotides long. RefSeq lists it as uncharacterized. NCBI's taxonomy places the organism in Eukaryota, Metazoa, Chordata, Actinopteri, Cichliformes, Cichlidae. The transcript is spliced from 4 exons. The record is from RefSeq and is a predicted model, not a curated record.